RNAcentral lists this ribosomal RNA (397 nucleotides) under uncultured bacterium. RNAcentral's name for it is "bacterial SSU rRNA". It matches the Rfam family "Bacterial small subunit ribosomal RNA", at positions 28 to 429 of the family's 1533-position model. The record is from RNAcentral.
GACGAACGCUGGCGGCGUGCUUAACACAUGCAAGUCGAGUGGUAAGGCCCUUUCGGGGGUACACGAGCGGCGAACGGGUGAGUAACACGUGGGUGACCUGCCCUCAGCUCUGGGAUAAGCCUGGGAAACCGGGUCUAAUACUGGAUAUGACUCCAUGACGCAUGUUGUGGGGUGGAAAGCCUUGUGCGGCUGAGGAUGGGCCCGCGGCCUAUCAGCUUGUUAGUGGGGUGANGGCCUACCAAGGCGACGACGGGUAGCCGGCCUGAGAGGGCGACCGGCCACACUGGGACUGAGACACGGCCCAGACUCCUACGGGAGGCAGCAGUGGGGAAUCUUGCGCAAUGGGCGAAAGCCUGACGCAGCGACGCCGCGUGAGGGAUGACGGCCUCGGUGUAAC